RNAcentral lists this ribosomal RNA (405 nucleotides) under uncultured Bifidobacterium sp. Its description in RNAcentral is "bacterial SSU rRNA". It matches the Rfam family "Bacterial small subunit ribosomal RNA", at positions 173 to 592 of the family's 1533-position model. The record is from RNAcentral. Lineage: Bacteria; Bacillati; Actinomycetota; Actinomycetes; Bifidobacteriales; Bifidobacteriaceae.
CUCCGACAUGACGCAUGUCGUGUCGGGAAAGAUUCAUCGGUAUGGGAUGGGGUCGCGUCCUAUCAGCUUGAUGGCGGGGUAACGGCCCACCAUGGCUUCGACGGGUAGCCGGCCUGAGAGGGCGACCGGCCACAUUGGGACUGAGAUACGGCCCAGACUCCUACGGGAGGCAGCAGUGGGGAAUAUUGCACAAUGGGCGCAAGCCUGAUGCAGCGACGCCGCGUGCGGGAUGACGGCCUUCGGGUUGUAAACCGCUUUUGACUGGGAGCAAGCCCUUCGGGGUGAGUGUACCUUUCGAAUAAGCACCGGCUAACUACGUGCCAGCAGCCGCGGUAAUACGUAGGGUGCAAGCGUUAUCCGGAAUUAUUGGGCGUAAAGGGCUCGUAGGCGGUUCGUCGCGUCCGG